GACGAACGCUGGCGGCGUGCUUAACACAUGCAAGUCGAACGGAAAGGCCCUGCUUUUGUGGGGUGCUCGAGUGGCGAACGGGUGAGUAACACGUGAGUAACCUGCCCUUGACUUUGGGAUAACUUCAGGAAACUGGGGCUAAUACCGGAUAGGAGCUCCUGCUGCAUGGUGGGGGUUGGAAAGUUUCGGCGGUUGGGGAUGGACUCGCGGCUUAUCAGCUUGUUGGUGGGGUAGUGGCUUACCAAGGCUUUGACGGGUAGCCGGCCUGAGAGGGUGACCUGCCACAUUGGGACUGAGAUACGGCCCAGAAUCCUACGGGAGGCAGCAGUGGGGAAUAUUGCACAAUGGGCGGAAGCCUGAUGCAGCAACGCCGCGUGCGGGAUGACGGCCUUCGGGUUGUAAACCGCUUUCGCCUGUGACGAAGCGUGAGUGACGGUAAUGGGUAAAGAAGCACCGGCUAACUACGUG
Molecule: ribosomal RNA, 468 nt
Filed under: uncultured bacterium
Lineage: Bacteria
Description: partial 16S ribosomal RNA
Rfam family: Bacterial small subunit ribosomal RNA
Source: RNAcentral